AUUUCUUUAGUAUACUAGUACAAAUGCCUUCCAAGCAUUUAGCUCCACCCGGAAAGAAAUA
RNAcentral lists this transfer RNA (61 nucleotides) under Thermophis zhaoermii. RNAcentral's name for it is "tRNA-Gly". The record is from RNAcentral. Lineage: Eukaryota; Metazoa; Chordata; Lepidosauria; Squamata; Dipsadidae.